CGGACUCCUCCGCCUGGGAGCCUCUAUCCGCCUGGGAGCCUCUAUGCGCCCCGCAAAGCCCCCGGCAGAGCCGAGGGGAGGCUUCAUUGGCGACCUGGUGGGGCCUCGCGGCCCUGCUCCCUGACGUCAGCGCCGCCGCGGUGAUUUAACAGCUUUUGUUUUGGGCAGAAGAACCUAUGGGCACAAAAAGCAGGAACGAGUAGCGGUGGCUGAAGAACGAGCAGGAGCUUGAAUUUCAGUUUUCUUAUGAGGAAUUUUCCAGAAAAGAUAUCUUCACUGUGAAAUAACUAAAUAAAUGCCCACUCAGUACAGUCACUGUCUCCCUUUUGGAACUUGAUGGCACCUUAAGCCCAGGUUUGCCUCCACUCUAGAAACUCAUCAGAGUGAUGCCCUUCUCAAAUGGGGGAGGUCCCAAAGCGGAUAUCCUGGCAGUGUGAAAGGCCGGCUAAAGGUUUGUGCCAAGAGGAUCUGUGGAAUGCAUCUCCUACAGCUGGUGCUGCUGAGUAACCACUCUGAUCUGGCAUCUUCUUUGAUCAAGUUACAGAGCAGAGUUUCCAGGGCUGGGGAUUGAAGUCCUGCCUCCUCCCUUUGUCUCUGGUUGUCCUCGGUAAUGUUUUUCCCUCAAGGUACUCAUGAUACUUCCCAUGGGGUGAGUCAGGGACAGGUCUCUUUCCAGGGAAUCCAGGAUGGUAGGGAGGUUGGUUGUCUACCUUGAUCUCACUUUUUCCAUUGUAGAAACUGUGAGUUGGGGAAAGUUUUCCACACACUUGGUGCUGGACAGAUUGUGGCAAGGGGCACCACAGAUAUAAAAAUCUGAUUCUUUUACCAUGCUCAGAGUUUUUUCACUUCUGUGUCCCCAGGAAUUGACUCAUCCUCAUAUCUGAGUUCUGGGAUAUUGUUGGUGAUAAUCUCAGUGCUGUAUAUUUGUUUUUGGUUUUCUGGUGUGGAAGUGAAGCCAGCUUGCGUCUACACUGCCAUUUUUGAACUAGAAGUCCA
This 996-nucleotide long non-coding RNA is filed under the name Homo sapiens (human). Its description in RNAcentral is "PREDICTED lncRNA (TCONS_00152798)". Lineage: Eukaryota; Metazoa; Chordata; Mammalia; Primates; Hominidae. The record is from RNAcentral.